AUGUUUGGAUAUUCAUGGAAGGUGGGUGAUGGUAGAAGUAUUAGAUUUUGGGAAGAUAUCUGGUGUGGUGAGGUUAACCUUGCUACCCAAUAUUGGUAUCUUUAUUCCAUUGCAGUGGACCAUCAGGUCACUAUUAGUGAUGUUUGGGAUGUAAGUAAAAUUAAUUUUAGAAGAUGCUUCUCUCCCAAGAUGUUGAUGGAUUGGAACAAGAUGUUCCACAAGGUUAAAUGUAACACCCCGCAUGUAACUUUCCAUAUUUGUAACUCCGACUCUUGCCAUUUUCGGCUAUGUGCUAUGAUAUUCCCUCCGUGGUCGGGUUUUCUCUUUCGUUUUGCAUUUUGUUCAUGUCAUGCAUUUCAUAUCAUGUCAUCAUGUGCAUUGCAUUUGCAUACGUGUUCGUCUCAUGCAUCCGAACAUUUUCCCCGUUGUCCGUUUUAG
This 438-nucleotide ribosomal RNA is filed under the name Triticum aestivum (bread wheat). RNAcentral describes it as "partial small subunit ribosomal RNA". Lineage: Eukaryota; Viridiplantae; Streptophyta; Magnoliopsida; Poales; Poaceae. The record is from RNAcentral.